Molecule: long non-coding RNA, 924 nt
Organism: Acanthaster planci (crown-of-thorns starfish)
Lineage: Eukaryota; Metazoa; Echinodermata; Asteroidea; Valvatida; Acanthasteridae
Source: RefSeq, a predicted model, not a curated record
CAAAUAUUGGUCAGGGGUAAACGUAAUAAAAGACAGCAUUUGAAGUUGAAGCUUUACAUCAUGUAUGUACAUAGGCCUAUGUACGAAAGCAGUUGAGGAGGGAAUACGAGGAGAAAGCGGCCGCGGAGGCCAGACAGAGGGAGGAGGCCGAAUGGCAGUCCAGAUGGCAGGACGAAUGGGUAGCAGACAUGGUGGGGAUGUGUGGCCACACCCCCUGGGAGGACACAGGUUACACCAGUCAGAAUCUGGAAUUGCUUGAUGACUGGGCCACCAGGAUAGCUGCAGAGCACAGACAGACACAGCAGCAGCGAUACCAGGGUGCUCAGCCAACACGGAGAAGUGCAACUUCCAAAGGACACUGGAAGAGGAACAGGAAAUUGAACGAAAUGUUUGGAUGUGUGGUCCAGGAUACCAGUGAGGCAGAGCACCAGUGAGACAUCAUCGAAUGCCGCUGGAUAAAAAGGCAAUGGGAAUGCUAUCGGAAUGGAGGUCAUGUGUGGAGAUCGCUUUUAUUCAGCAUGUUUUAUCAAAAUUCCAUCAUUUGGGUUUUCCUUCACCAGGCCUUCGAGUCAGCUGUUUGGUCCAUGUUGAUACCUAGAUGGAUGCACGAUGCGUCCAACAGCUUUGUACGUCACUUGGCAAGACGGGACUCCAACCACGGCUUAUGCUGAAAGAAGAGGGAAAAAAAUACAAUUUUGGCAGUAACAUUUGACUAAAAUGUAUCCAAACUCGGAUUUGUUAGCAUUCUUUGAACACUGAACAAAUUAGUUCGAGCUAAGAGUCAACAUUUGAUUUCUGCCAGAUAUGUUAUUUCUUGGCGUGUUUAAGAAUAUAGCACUUGUACAAGAAAAUGUUUGCAACCAUAGCGAUGAUUUCUUCUGGCCGGAGUGUGGAAUUUUAAAAAAUAAAAAGUGGUAAAAAAGA